ACUGUUAUUGUACCAUCGGCUACUCCUUCUCUGCGUCGGUGGGGCGAUUUCCAGCCAGCUCAUUUUAUGGCGCUGUCCAACGGUGGAGUGCGCCCACCGUGGCCCCUAACUUUCGACCAUCCUCAAUCUGCUUGGGAUGAUCUAACAGGGGAAGAAGUCGUGACUCGCGGUCCAUGGGCAUCUCCUCGUGAUAUGCUAAAAUUACUCUUCGAUGAGUAAUUUGGUGAGAUCUAAAUGCUGUGGUUUGUGUGUGAUUUUGCUGAGGUCUGUGACCUAUGAAUGCUAUUGUGUGUGAUUUUGCUGAGGUCUGUGACCUAUGAAUGCUGUUGUGUGUGAUUUUGCUGAGGUCUGUGACCUAUGAUGUUUAUGUGUGAUUAAUUUUGAGUAAAUGAAACAGAUGCUACACUUGUUGGGUUGGAUGUUGUGUUAUGUUCUCUGUGAUGAAUACACUGAAACAGAUACUACACUUGUUGGGUUGGAUGUUGUGUUAUGUUCUCUGUGAUGAAUACACUUAAACAGAUACUACACUUGUUGGGUUGGAUGCUGUAAUUUAGUUGCGUGGUCUAUGAUGAAACAAAAUCUGAGACUUUAAAUGCAAACUACAUUUAUAGCAACCCCUGAAACAAAAGUGGUAUCUACUAGUUCAUGUACAGGUUUAAUGACACACCAAAAAGAAAUUAAACCUAUCUGAACUAGUUCUUAAAACAAAAGUGUUGUUUGUAAUGUUUCUAACAUUUUUCACAUACGAAAAUGAAGCUUAAGUGAGGUAAGGUCAUAGCCAUAACCUGAAUCAUUUUCUGCCAUAUUUAUGUAAUCCAAACUGUCUCUCACAAGCUGUGGAUCCACUUCAAUGGAUUCUGGUAGUUGCCCCAUCCUUUGAAGUCUGCUCUUGUUCAUAUGUGGUAUCUUGUAGUCAUUUCCUCCUUUCACCUUGAGCAUUUCUGAGUAACAGCCUUGCAGAGUCAAGAAAACAUUGUUAAGAGUUUGUGGUGUCAGUUCUUCAAAUGCCCUCACCACAUUUGCAAGUAGAUCAUCCACUGUCUUUGCUGUGUUAUCAUCUUGUAGGCUUUGAAUAGCUCUGAAAAAGCCUAAGUCAUUCACAUUUGUGUCGGGAGAAUUUGGAGGUUGACAAAUGAGUGUCAUUUUGAAUCCAUCUGUGUUAGCUGCUGCUGCGAACUCAGGGUCAUUGUUAAGAAUAUGUGGUCUAGCAUUGUCUUGCUGUAUAAUAAUGUCCUUGGGCUCUGUACUUGGCCAUUUAGCUUUGAUAGCUGGGAUGACCUGUUAAUAGCUAAGUGAUGAAACUAAUUUAUGAUAGCAUGCAUAAACAAAUGUGAAUCUUUGCAAGUGAUGAAACUGAAAAUUGAAUGCAGUUGGAUACCUGUGAUAUUAUGCACUCCUUAAUCACCUCUUUGGUGAUUGAUUGGAUGGGUUUUGUCUCCAAAGUCCCUUUUGCCCUGUUUUUUGAGUUUCUUUUGGCUGGUUCCUUUACAGUGAAGGGGAAAAUUCCAUAUUUCCCAUCAAAUAACACUUCCCCUUCACUUGAGAAGUGUGGUCUUCCAACCACAGACAUAAACAUAACCUUUGUUAUGAACCUCUUGGAUUGACAUGACCUAUGUGGUUCAAUCUCAUCUGGUAACAGGUAGUAUCGGUCAGUGGUCUUGCUCAUGAAAAACCAUUUCUCGUCAAUGUGGAUAACAUUUUUCAUAGGCUGGAAUUUAAUUGAUUCAGCCUCACAUUUCAACUGACUCAAUGCAAAUCUCAUCCUGCAUAACUUGUUUGCCUCAGAAAGUGAUGGUUUGAUUGCAUUUGUGUGGGGCCUGAGCAAUUUUUGCUUAAUCCAUCUGCCAACACUUGAUUUACUAACCUGUAACUUCUUGGCCAUUUUCCUUAUGGUUGAUCUUUCAAGCACAGAUAAGUUCUUUACCUUCUCUGUAUCGAUUUUCAGUUUGUCUUUGUGUGUGAUUCCUUUCCUUUUAUUCUUCAAAUGCACUGGAAUACCUUGUUGAAUUUGAAUGCAAAUUUCAUGCCAUAUUUUUCUAACUGUUCUCUUUGAUACUCCAUAAUUCUCUGCAGCUUCUUUGUGAGCCCCUCGCCUGAUCCGUCCAUCGCCUUGCUGUUGUUUCAUUAACCAUUGAGCAAGGCCGUUUUUUUGGUCCAUGGUGAGCUUCUUGUGGGCUGACAACAUUUUGAAGAGAAGAGAGGUUCCUGUCCCAACCAGAAGUGAAGAACUUUUUUUUUGGUAUUGAAUGCAGCUUGAGUAGGUAGAUUUUGUUUUUUUAAAUUGAAUGUGUUGUUUGUAAAAAUGUGCUGUAAUGACCUCUUUAAUGACGCGAGUUGUACAAAUUCCCUCCAUUAUCCAAAAUUUGGUGGGAAUCUGAAUUUAGUGUGUAAUUCUCUCCUUCCUCGAAAAUGGAGCGCGCCUUUCU
RNAcentral lists this long non-coding RNA (2426 nucleotides) under Salvia miltiorrhiza (redroot sage). RNAcentral describes it as "long non-coding RNA (SMIL_LNC004765)". Lineage: Eukaryota; Viridiplantae; Streptophyta; Magnoliopsida; Lamiales; Lamiaceae. The record is from RNAcentral.